RNAcentral lists this ribosomal RNA (467 nucleotides) under uncultured bacterium. RNAcentral describes it as "partial 16S ribosomal RNA". It matches the Rfam family "Bacterial small subunit ribosomal RNA", at positions 28 to 507 of the family's 1533-position model. The record is from RNAcentral.
GACGAACGCUGGCGGCGUGCUUAACACAUGCAAGUCGAACGGAAAGGCCCUGCUUUUGUGGGGUGCUCGAGUGGCGAACGGGUGAGUAACACGUGAGUAACCUGCCCUUGACUUUGGGAUAACUUCAGGAAACUGGGGCUAAUACCGGAUAGGAGCUCCUGCUGCAUGGUGGGGGUUGGAAAGUUUCGGCGGUUGGGGAUGGACUCGCGGCUUAUCAGCUUGUUGGUGGGGUAGUGGCUUACCAAGGCUUUGACGGGUAGCCGGCCUGAGAGGGUGACCGGCCACAUUGGACUGAGAUACGGCCCAGACUCCUACGGGAGGCAGCAGUGGGGAAUAUUGCACAAUGGGCGGAAGCCUGAUGCAGCAACGCCGCGUGCGGGAUGACGGCCUUCGGGUUGUAAACCGCUUUCGCCUGUGACGAAGCGUGAGUGACGGUAAUGGGUAAAGAAGCACCGGCUAACUACGUG